Xenopus tropicalis (tropical clawed frog) is the source of this 1112-nucleotide long non-coding RNA. RefSeq lists it as uncharacterized. Lineage: Eukaryota; Metazoa; Chordata; Amphibia; Anura; Pipidae. The transcript is spliced from 3 exons. The record is from RefSeq and is a predicted model, not a curated record.
AAAUUACGGAAAGACCCCUUAUCCGGAAUACCCUUGGUCCCGAGCAUGGAAAACGGGUCCUAUACCUGUACUAAAUUGUAUGCUGAGGACCCCAUAUUGAGUGACACUGCUGUGGAGAAGCAAACUGAAACGCCUUUAAAAAGUCCCAGGAGGCGGGUGAAACACGUGUCGGGUAUGCAGAUUUAAACAGACAGUCAAGAAAAUAUCCUGGUAAAAAGGGUGACAGUCUGGCUGUGGAAGCCUAAAAUACCUGCUCUGUUUUCAGCUCUGCUGGGAGUGGGACACCUCCACUUACAGGCAUAAUAAGGAACUGGCAUAAUAAGGAACUACCUGGGCAGCAUCACCCCAGAAGAAGUUGACAAAAUAGAGCUCAGAUCAAAUCUAAUUUCUGAGAUUUCCUUGGGCCAUCAUGCAACUUAAACUUCUACCUACAGAUUUCCAACUGCCAUUCCAAAACAUUAAACUUGCUUUUUUAAAGUUGAUUAUGGUUACUUUUGAGGUAUGUUUAGGAUUGUUGUGUUGUUGUAUGAGCCAUGCCCUUUUCAGCUUCGGAUUCUUGGCUGACUGCUUCAUAUUGGCAUCCAAAAUGUGCUCAUAUUUUGUGGAAUCCUUUCUUCUCUCUACACAAACAAUGUUUUCUCCACCGCUGGCUGCCUUAGAACCCCAAAGCUUAAUGGAUCCACCAACGUCUUUAACAGGGUGCUGCUACUUUGUUUCUCUAAACAAAUUUUUGGUGAUUGUGGCCAAAGACUUCAACUUUUACUUCAUCACUUGUUGUAACUUGUUCCCAAAAGGCCUCUGGCUUGUCUAGAUGCUGUUUUGCCUACCUCAGAAGUUGAAAUUUGUCAUGAGGUUGCAGGUAAGGCUUCCCUGAUGCAGAUCAUGUUUGUGCAAGCAACGUGCAAUGUAGAACAGUGCAAUGCCACUCCUGUGUCAGCAAAACUUUCCUGUGGGUCCUUUGCAGUCAUAUGAGGGGUUGCCUUUGUCAUUCUGGCCACCAAACAAGCAGUUCUUACUGGAAAUUUUUAUUCAGACUUUGCCUUGAGCUCCACAGUCCACCUUAACUGCCAUCUCAUGAUUAUAUUGCAGACAGUAAAAAUUGUGAGCUGAAA